ACUCCUACGGGAGGCAGCAUGGUAGGAUGAUGCAAUGGGGGAAACCCUGAUCCAGCCAUGCCGCGUGUGUGAAGAAGGCCUUCGGGUUGUAAAGCACUUUCAGUGGGGAGGAAGGUAGUGUAGUUAACACCUGCAUUAUUUGACGUUACCUACAGAAGAAGCACCGGCUAACUCCGUGCCAGCAGCCGCGGUAAUACGGAGGGUGCGAGCGUUAAUCGGAAUUACUGGGCGUAAAGCGCAUGCAGGCGGCCUGUUAAGUCAGAUGUGAAAGCCCGGGGCUUAACCUCGGAAUUGCAUUUGAAACUGGCAGGCUAGAGUCUUGUAGAGGGGGGUAGAAUUUCAGGUGUAGCGGUGAAAUGCGUAGAGAUCUGAAGGAAUACCAGUGGCGAAGGCGGCCCCCUGGACAAAGACUGACGCUCAGAUGCGAAAGCGUGGGGAGCAAACAGGAUUAGAUACCCUGGUAGGAUAG
This 469-nucleotide ribosomal RNA is filed under the name uncultured bacterium. RNAcentral describes it as "bacterial SSU rRNA". It matches the Rfam family "Bacterial small subunit ribosomal RNA", at positions 335 to 798 of the family's 1533-position model. The record is from RNAcentral.